Molecule: ribosomal RNA, 373 nt
Filed under: uncultured organism
Description: partial 16S ribosomal RNA
Rfam family: Bacterial small subunit ribosomal RNA
Source: RNAcentral
GUAGGUGGCAAGCGUUGUCCGGAAUUAUUGGGCGUAAAGCGCGCGCAGGUGGUUCUUUAAGUCUGAUGUGAAAGCCCCCGGCUCUACCGGGGAGGGUCAUUGGAAACUGGGGAACUUGAGUGCAGGAGAGGAAAGUGGAAUUCCACGUGUAGCGGUGAAAUGCGUAGAUAUGUGGAGGAACACCAGUGGCGAAGGCGACUUUCUGGCCUGUAACUGACACUGAGGCGCGAAAGCGUGGGGAGCAAACAGGGAUUAGAUACCCUGGUAGUCCACGCCGUAAACGAUGAGUGCUAAGUGUUGGGGGGGUUUCCCGCCCCUCAGUGCUGCAGCUAACGCAUUAAGCACUCCGCCUGGGGAUACGGUCGCAAGACUG